RNAcentral lists this ribosomal RNA (979 nucleotides) under uncultured Ralstonia sp. Its description in RNAcentral is "bacterial SSU rRNA". It matches the Rfam family "Bacterial small subunit ribosomal RNA", at positions 8 to 983 of the family's 1533-position model. The record is from RNAcentral. Lineage: Bacteria; Pseudomonadati; Pseudomonadota; Betaproteobacteria; Burkholderiales; Burkholderiaceae.
AGAGUUUGAUCCUGGCUCAGAUUGAACGCUGGCGGCAUGCCUUACACAUGCAAGUCGAACGGCAGCACGGGCUUCGGCCUGGUGGCGAGUGGCGAACGGGUGAGUAAUACAUCGGAACGUGCCCUGUUGUGGGGGAUAACCAGUCGAAAGAUUGGCUAAUACCGCAUACGACCUGAGGGUGAAAGCGGGGGACCGCAAGGCCUCGCGCAGCAGGAGCGGCCGAUGUCUGAUUAGCUAGUUGGUGGGGUAAAGGCCCACCAAGGCGACGAUCAGUAGCUGGUCUGAGAGGACGAUCAGCCACACUGGGACUGAGACACGGCCCAGACUCCUACGGGAGGCAGCAGUGGGGAAUUUUGGACAAUGGGGGCAACCCUGAUCCAGCAAUGCCGCGUGUGUGAAGAAGGCCUUCGGGUUGUAAAGCACUUUUGUCCGGAAAGAAAACCUUUGCCCUAAUACGGUGGGGGGAUGACGGUACCGGAAGAAUAAGCACCGGCUAACUACGUGCCAGCAGCCGCGGUAAUACGUAGGGUGCGAGCGUUAAUCGGAAUCACUGGGCGUAAAGCGUGCGCAGGCGGUUUGACAAGACAGGCGUGAAAUCCCCGGGCUUAACCUGGGAAUGGCGCUUGUGACUGUCAGGCUAGAGUAUGUCAGAGGGGGGUAGAAUUCCACGUGUAGCAGUGAAAUGCGUAGAGAUGUGGAGGAAUACCGAUGGCGAAGGCAGCCCCCUGGGACGUCACUGACGCUCAUGCACGAAAGCGUGGGGAGCAAACAGGAUUAGAUACCCUGGUAGUCCACGCCCUAAACGAUGUCAACUAGUUGUUGGGGAUUCAUUUCUUCAGUAACGUAGCUAACGCGUGAAGUUGACCGCCUGGGGAGUACGGUCGCAAGAUUAAAACUCAAAGGAAUUGACGGGGACCCGCACAAGCGGUGGAUGAUGUGGAUUAAUUCGAUGCAACGCGAAAAACCUUACCUACCCUUG